Molecule: ribosomal RNA, 465 nt
Filed under: Vreelandella stevensii
Lineage: Bacteria; Pseudomonadati; Pseudomonadota; Gammaproteobacteria; Oceanospirillales; Halomonadaceae
Description: partial 16S ribosomal RNA
Rfam family: Bacterial small subunit ribosomal RNA
Source: RNAcentral
CCUACGGGAGGCUGCAGUGGGGAAUAUUGGACAAUGGGGGGAACCCUGAUCCAGCCAUGCCGCGUGUGUGAAGAAGGCCCUCGGGUUGUAAAGAACUUUCAGUGAGGAAGAACGCCUGGUGGUUAAUACCCAUCAGGAAAGACAUCACUCACAGAAGAAGCACCGGCUAACUCCGUGCCAGCAGCCGCGGUAAUACGGAGGGUGCGAGCGUUAAUCGGAAUUACUGGGCGUAAAGCGCGCGUAGGUGGCUUGAUAAGCCGGUUGUGAAAGCCCCGGGCUCAACCUGGGAACGGCAUCCGGAACUGUCAAGCUAGAGUGCAGGAGAGGAAGGUAGAAUUCCCGGUGUAGCGGUGAAAUGCGUAGAGAUCGGGAGGAAUACCAGUGGCGAAGGCGGCCUUCUGGACUGCCACUGACACUGAGGUGCGAAAGCGUGGGUAGCAAACAGGAUUAGAUACCCGUGUAGUC